This 253-nucleotide ribosomal RNA is filed under the name uncultured bacterium. Its description in RNAcentral is "partial 16S ribosomal RNA". It matches the Rfam family "Bacterial small subunit ribosomal RNA", at positions 524 to 776 of the family's 1533-position model. The record is from RNAcentral.
UACAGAGGUCUCAAGCGUUGUUCGGAUUCAUUGGGCGUAAAGGGUGCGUAGGUGGCGCGCUAAGUCGGGUGUGAAAUUUCGGAGCUUAACUCCGAAACUGCAUUCGAUACUGGCGUGCUUGAGGACUGGAGAGGAGACUGGAAUUCAUGGUGUAGCAGUGAAAUGCGUAGAGAUCAUGAGGAAGACCAGUGGCGAAGGCGGGUCUCUGGACAGUUCCUGACACUGAGACACGAAGGCCAGGGGAGCAAACGGG